Vicia villosa (hairy vetch) is the source of this 107-nucleotide small nucleolar RNA. The record is from RefSeq and is a predicted model, not a curated record. NCBI's taxonomy places the organism in Eukaryota, Viridiplantae, Streptophyta, Magnoliopsida, Fabales, Fabaceae.
AUCCCACGGUGUCAACAUUGCCUCAACUAUUCCUUGAAUAUUUCCCCAACAUUAAACAAAGACUCAUCCUUUCAUUGUCUAAAUUAAGUGAUUUCAUUUCUGAUUCU